UUUUUAAUUAAAAUAAUAAUAUAAAUAAUUUGUUUAAUUUUAGUAAUUAAAAAGAAAAAAUUUGAUAGAAUUUAUAGAAAAUUAGUAAAGUAAUUGAAUUUUUAAUAGAAUAUGAAUUAAAUAAAAAAUUUAUUUAAGUAAAUUUAAUUUAUUGUAUCUUGUGUAUCAGAGUUUAAAAAAAAAUUAUAAGAGAAAAGUUUCUCGAAAAAAAAUAAGAGAUAAAAAUUAAAUUUUUAUUAAUGUUGAAAAAUUAUAAAAAAUUAAUUUUUAGAGAUAAAAAGUUAUUCGAUUUUUUUUAUAUCUAGUUUUUAAAGAAAUAAAUUUAAUUUAAUUUUUAUUUGGAAUAUAUUUUAUUAAUUGAAGUAAUAUUUAUAAAUAAAAUAUUUAAGAUUAGAUAAUUAUAAAUAAAAUUAAGUAAAUAUAGGGUUAAGCUUGUAUUUAAAAUUWUAAAWUUWWAAWUUUUUUUUAAAUUUAGAGUUUUUAAUAUAAUAUUUAUUUUAUAAAUUUAAAUUGGAUUUAAUUUAUGAGAUUAAUAAUUUAUUUAAAAAUUAAUAUUAAUUUAAUUUAUUAAGUUUAAAUGUUAAAAUUAGUAUAAUAAAUUUUUAGUUAAAAAUAAUUAAGUAAGUUUAAAUUAAUGAAUUAGGCAAAAUUUAAUUAUAAAUUAAAUUAUUUCACUUGUUUAACAAAAACAUGUCUUUUAGAAAAAUUAAAUUUAAAGUCUGAUCUGCCCACUGAAUUUUAAAUUUUAAAGGGCUGCAGAAUUUUAACUGUACAAAGGUAGCAUAAUAAAUUGUUUUUUAAUUGAAAACUAGAAUGAAGGAUUUAAUGAAAAUAAUACUGUAUAAAUUUAAUAAAUGGAAUUUAUUUUUUUUGUAAAAAAACAAAAAUUAUUUAAAAAGACGAGAAGACCCUUUAGAUUUUAAUUAAUAAAAAAAUUUAAAUGGUAUUUUAAUGUAUUAUUUAAUAAUUUAUAAUUUUUUUAUUAAAUUGGUUGGGGUGAUUGUUAAAUUUAAUUAACUUUAUUUAAAUUAAGUAUAAGAUUUUGAUUAGAAAAUUUAUAUUAUAGGAAUGAUUUAGUUUUAUCGAUUAUAUGAUUUAAUUACCUAAGGGAUAACAGCGUUAUUUAAGUUUUUAGUUCUUAUAAAAAUUUAAGUUUGCGACCUCGAUGUUGGAUUAAGAUUAUUUUUAAUUGCAGAAAAUUUAUAUUUUAGUCUGUUCGACUAUUAAAAUCUUACAUGAUCUGAGUUCAAACCGGCGUGAGCCAGGUUGGUUUCUAUCUUUUAAAUUUAAUUAUUAUUUUAGUACGAAAGGAUUAAGUAAUAAAAAUAAAAAAUUUUUAAAGUUWAARAWUWUAAAUNWUAAAUAUUUUAAAUAAAGG
This 1378-nucleotide ribosomal RNA is filed under the name Hydropsyche simulans. Its description in RNAcentral is "16S ribosomal RNA". Lineage: Eukaryota; Metazoa; Arthropoda; Insecta; Trichoptera; Hydropsychidae. The record is from RNAcentral.